This 281-nucleotide ribosomal RNA is filed under the name uncultured bacterium. RNAcentral's name for it is "partial 16S ribosomal RNA". It matches the Rfam family "Bacterial small subunit ribosomal RNA", at positions 74 to 353 of the family's 1533-position model. The record is from RNAcentral.
ACUUGCUUUCUUUGCUGGCGACCGGCGCACGGGUGAGUAACACGUAUCCAACCUACCCUUUACUCGGGGAUAGCCUUUCGAAAGAAAGAUUAAUACCCGAUGGCAUAGUUCUUCCGCAUGGUAGAACUAUUAAAGAAUUUCGGUCAUCGAUGGGGAUGCGUUCCAUUAGGUUGUUGGCGGGGUAACGGCCCACCAAGCCUUCGAUGGAUAGGGGUUCUGAGAGGAAGGUCCCCCCACAUUGGAACUGAGACACGGUCCAAACUCCUACGGGAGGCAGCAUG